RNAcentral lists this long non-coding RNA (1282 nucleotides) under Equus caballus (horse). RNAcentral's name for it is "lncRNA (ENSECAG00000059941.1)". The record is from RNAcentral. Lineage: Eukaryota; Metazoa; Chordata; Mammalia; Perissodactyla; Equidae.
AUCAAGUGGGGAAACCCUGGGGCCCACAGUGAGUGUCCCCUCCUCCUCCGGAAAACCCUAACCCAGUUUUUGGGCACAUGCCAGACUUUUAUUCUGAAGCCGAGGCCACAGCCUAUGAGGUAAUCUUUGGAGCUGCAUUCGAGGCAGAGUCCCAUUGGCUGGCUGGCAAAACCCCUCCCCGGGUUCCCGGCGCCCCGCCUUCCCCAAUGCCCAUAAAAGCGCAUGUCCCCGUCUCGGUAGCCACUGGACACCUGCAUCUGCCAACAAGACCGGAAGCAGGUCAGCGCAUGGACGUCUUCCCAGAAAGUGACAAAGACGGCGAAGUUUGACAGUCUGGAAAGCGGAGACCAGACGGGCUGACUACCUGAGAGCACCGCGACUCCGGACAGCGCCUCUCGGGGUCCGGGAUGGGACCCGCGAUCUGCUUCAGCACCGGGGCUGCGGACAGCUCCUGGCGGAGGCCCGGGGCCCCUCCGACAUCGUUUCAGCACCCGGACAGCGGACAGCUCCCCGAGAUAAUAAGCAGGCGCGAUGAAACCGCACGUAGAAAUCUGUAAUUCCCAGCAGGACCAGGAAUGGAAAACAGGAGGCGGUGGAGAAGCAAGAAGCCCGGGUGUUCCGGCUUGGCUCAGUUCCAGGGGCCAAUUACAGGACAGGUGUCCACUCGUGCCUGGUAGUUGUGGCAUCAUCAACGCCCACCCCAAAUUCUCUGUGACAUCCUAAUGAAGUCAGAGACACCACGUCAAGCUCGUUGCAGCCUCAGAGUCCUUGCCUUUGCUGUUCCCUCAGCUUGGAAUGCUCUGCUCCCCAAGCACCCCAAGGCUCCCUCCGCCUUCUUAUCCAAGCCUCAGGGCUGUCUGUCUCCCCCCACUACACUGUGAGCCCCUUGAGGACAGAGACUGUGUUUGUAUUUUCCCAGCACUCAUGCAUGGCCUUGCACACAGCAGGUGCUCAAUAAAUGUUUGUUGAAUCAGUAAAGGCAUCAGAGGAUAAAACAACGUAUCAGUCAAUAAAGGAAUUUAUGGUUUCAGUAUGCACAUGAAGGUCCUACUUCUUUCUCCUCGACGUCCCCCACAGAGAUGCCACAGGGUGAUGGUGGCCGCGGGUGGUUAUUGGGGAGUAUAAUUAAAUUUGUGGGCACUCAAGGGCCAGCCAGCCAACGAAUAGCCCCAGGAGAGAGCCAGGCUCGUUUAAUUAGCAAUUACGAGGCAUUGAUUCCUCAUUAGUUCCGGCAACCCCGUCUCCCUCCCCAGCCCCAGACAAAUGAAAUCUUUCUCUCCCC